RNAcentral lists this long non-coding RNA (2355 nucleotides) under Salvia miltiorrhiza (redroot sage). Its description in RNAcentral is "long non-coding RNA (SMIL_LNC008395)". Lineage: Eukaryota; Viridiplantae; Streptophyta; Magnoliopsida; Lamiales; Lamiaceae. The record is from RNAcentral.
CAACUUAUUUAAUUUGAUGAUUCCAUCUCUCUUUCUUUAACUCUCUCUCCUAAAUUUCGCAGCUGCCUGUCUUCUCUCUCACAUAUCCUCUUUCCUUUUAUAUUCUAUCACUUUCAACCUCCAUUUUCCCUCUGCAAGAAAAUCUGCGGGUAAGGCUCCGUCCUUCACCUCCUUCCUUCUUCUAGAUCUGGUUAUGGCCUUCUGCCUCUCUCUUUCUUCUAGAUUCGACUCCAACUUUCUCUUCCCUAUCUUUUUUUCCUUCAUCGACGUGCCUGUCCUGCCGCUAGAUUCUGGUGGUGGCGCGAUUCCAGAAAUGCGGCAAUCUGCGGAUGGCUAUGGGCGGAUGAGCAUGACCGAAGUUGAGUGAAAAUCAUGUUAAUAGGUUUUUGCUGUGGUUUUUGAACCUCUAUUGCCCAAUUAGGGAUUGUGAAAUGGAAGAAUUACAAUUAGAAAUUUACAAGAGCAAUUGAGUUUUCUUUUUCUUUUUAUUUACAAGAGCAAUUUUCGUUUAUGUAAUAAGAGUUGAGAUUUCGGGUAUGUAUUUAUUGUGGGCGUUUUUUUGGUUUAUUUUGGCUAUUUUUGAUAGGUAAAAGAUGUGGCCACAAUUAUGCACUGGAAGCUCUUUUAGGAAAAUUGGUAUGAAGCCAAUCUGCAGAGUGAUGGGGUUUCUCUGUAUCCAUGAUCUGCCAGUAAUAAUAAUUACUUUUGUGGAAAGAAAAUGAGUGCUAAAAAUCCUUUUCCUUUUUUUUGUGUUGGAGAUUGAUAAGUAUUUCACCAAAAUGCAGAAACAAAAUUCUCAUGACUAUCUCUGCGAGUACGUUAUACUAUAGAUUGCGAUAAUAUUUCGAGAUAUGGAUAAUUCUAUGAUGUAUCAAUUACGAUAGCAAGUUAAAAACUUACUAGGAAAAAUAACAAAAGUGAUACCAAAUCAUGGAGGACCGCUACCAAAAUCUUAAAUUUCUGCGCAUCUAAUAUUAUGUAAUCACCAAAUUUUGUAAUCGAGCAACCGAAGUUGAGUGAAAAUCAUGUGAAUAAGUUUUUGUUGUGGUUUUUGAAUCUCUAUUGCCCAAUUAGGGAUUUUGAAAUGGAAGAAUUACAGUGAGAAAUUUACAAGCGCAAUCGAGUUUUUAUUUUUGUUCUUCCCCCUUUUUUUUCUCUUUGUUGUAUAUAUUGUAAUUCCACGUUAUUUUUCACAUUCCUUUCCAAGAAAAUCAUAUACUUCUUCAUACAGAUAGUGAGUUUCCUAUCGCACACUUUCUUAGAAUAUAAAGCAAAGUUUUUGCUUCCCCAAAAAAUACAACUAGCUUUUCACAUUAAAUACAUUAAAAAAAUUAUAAAUAUUGUACAUAAAAUGCAUUUUUACUUUUCAAAUUACACUGUCCACAUCUGUAUUUGUGAGGCCUUGGCUUUAUGUUUUGGACUUUUGGACCUUUUUACAUCAUGUUCGUAUCUAUGUGGUAAAUAUAUACUAUUGAAAUGUGUGAAUUAUGGCUGAAGAUAGAGGUUGUCAGUGCUGUUCUUGAAAAGCAAGUAGGAUUUUUGUGAAGAAUCAGGGGAUAAGCAGUAGAGAUUUAUUUAUUUAUUUUUACUUUUUGUAAAGAGAGAUGAAGUUUUCGAGAAUCAGUUAAAACUUCGUGGAAUUCACAUACAAACACAAUUCCCACACUUUAUUUUACGGUGAUGCAGGCACUGUGCACAUAAAAAUAUUUUAAUUUUUUUAUAUUUAUAUAAAAUUAAUAUAUUAAUUCAAUUAUCAUACUUAUAAAUAUAAUAUAAAUUAUUUUUAAUUGAAUAUGGUUGAAUUAAAUAUUGAAAAAAUAAAAAAAUAAAAAAGAAUUCACAAUUAUAAAAUUUGAUAUUACGAAAAAAAAUAUAUAUGUUAAAAAAUAAAAAGAAAAAAGAAUUAAAAAAUAAUAAUUUGAAAUUGAUUUCAAAUUACAAGUUAUUUUUUAAUACAGUAUAUAAGUGGUGGGGUAUAGUUCAAAAAUAGGUAGGAAGUCAUCACACUAUAAUUUCUUAUUUUUAUUGGAGAAAUUGGGGAUCUCUUCGGUUCAAAUAUCAUCUAACAAUAAACAAAAACAACCCAUUAACACCAACAAGCAAAGAGAGGGAGAAAGAGAAGCCAUUAUUGGUGAUUUUUCAAACCUUUUAUUUGAGCCAGAUGAAUCGCCGAUGUUCCUGAUUUUAUCUUCAGUUAAUGAGAAGUCAUCUCCUCUCAUCCAUCAGGUCGGUGGUGAAGACGUCGAAUUUAAUAAGUUCACCGGAGUGAUCUUUCUGUAGAUCGGAAGGUGGAGUAGCUGCAGCCUGAGUCGGAAUGAGAGAUGAGGCGGCAGAGAAGAUGGAGAAGAAAGGGAG